GAUGAAGAACGUAGCGAAAUGCGAUAAGUAAUGUGAAUUGCAGAAUUCAGUGAAUCAUCGAAUCUUUGAACGCACAUUGCGCCCGCCAGUAUUCUGGCGGGCAUGCCUGUCCGAGCGUCAUUUCAACCCUCGAACCCCUCCGGGGGGUCGGCGUUGGGGAUCGGCCCUGCCUCUUGGCGGUGGCCGUCUCCGAAAUACAGUGGCGGUCUCGCCGCAGCCUCUCCUGCGCAGUAGUUUGCACACUCGCAUCGGGAGCGCGGCGCGUCCACAGCCGUUAAACACCCAACUUCUGAAAUGUUGACCUCGGAUCAGGUAGGGAUACCCGCUGAACUUAAGCAUAUCAAUAAGCGGAGGA
This 355-nucleotide unclassified non-coding RNA is filed under the name soil metagenome. RNAcentral's name for it is "partial contains 5.8S ribosomal RNA, internal transcribed spacer 2, and large subunit ribosomal RNA". The stretch from base 1 to 120 matches the Rfam family "5.8S ribosomal RNA", at positions 35 to 154 of the family's 154-position model. The record is from RNAcentral.